Molecule: ribosomal RNA, 428 nt
Filed under: uncultured prokaryote
Description: bacterial SSU rRNA
Rfam family: Bacterial small subunit ribosomal RNA
Source: RNAcentral
UGAGGAAUCUUGCGCAAUGGGGGAAACCCUGACGCAGCAACGCCGCGUGAGUGAAGAAGGCCUUCGGGUCGUAAAGCUCUGUCAGGUGGGAAGAAAUGGAUGGGGGCUAAUAUCGUCCAUCCUUGACGGUACCAUCAGAGGAAGCACCGGCUAACUCCGUGCCAGCAGCCGCGGUAAUACGGGGGGUGCAAGCGUUGUUCGGAAUCAUUGGGCGUAAAGCGCGCGCAGGCGGCUUGGUAAGUCAGAUGUGAAAUCCCUGGGCUUAACCCAUGAAGUGCAUUUGAUACUGACUCGCUAGAGUACGGGGGAGGAAAGUGGAAUUCCUGGUGUAGAGGUGAAAUUCGUAGAUAUCAGGAGGAACACCGGUGGCGAAGGCGACUUUUUGGCCCGAUACUGACGCUCAGGCGCGAAAGCGUGGGGAGCAAACA